CAUGCAAGUCGAACGAGAGAGAAGGAGCUUGCUUCUUCGAUCGAGUGGCGAACGGGUGAGUAACGCGUGAGGAACCUGCCUCAAAGAGGGGGACAACAGUUGGAAACGACUGCUAAUACCGCAUAAGCCCACGGGUCGGCAUCGAUCUGAGGGAAAAGGAGCAAUCCGCUUUGAGAUGGCCUCGCGUCCGAUUAGCUAGUUGGUGAGGUAAUGGCCCACCAAGGCGACGAUCGGUAGCCGGACUGAGAGGUUGAACGGCCACAUUGGGACUGAGACACGGCCCAGACUCCUACGGGAGGCAGCAGUGGGGAAUAUUGCACAAUGGGGGAAACCCUGAUGCAGCGACGCCGCGUGGAGGAAGAAGGUCUUCGGAUUGUAAACUCCUGUUGUUGAGGAAGAUAAUGACGGUACUCAACAAGGAAGUGACGGCUAACUACGUGCCAGCAGCCGCGGUAAAACGUAGGUCACAAGCGUUGUCCGGAAUUACUGGGUGUAAAGGGAGCGCAGGCGGGAAGACAAGUUGGAAGUGAAAUCUAUGGGCUCAACCCAUAAACUGCUUUCAAAACUGUUUUUCUUGAGUAGUGCAGAGGUAGGCGGAAUUCCCGGUGUAGCGGUGGAAUGCGUAGAUAUCGGGAGGAACACCAGUGGCGAAGGCGGCCUACUGGGCACCAACUGACGCUGAGGCUCGAAAGUGUGGGUAGCAAACAGGAUUAGAUACCCUGGUAGUCCACACCGUAAACGAUGAUUACUAGGUGUUGGAGGAUUGACCCCUUCAGUGCCGCAGUUAACACAAUAAGUAAUCCACCUGGGGAGUACGACCGCAAGGUUGAAACUCAAAGGAAUUGACGGGGGCCCGCACAAGCAGUGGAGUAUGUGGUUUAAUUCGACGCAACGCGAAGAACCUUACCAAGUCUUGACAUCCUGCGACGAUGCUAGAAAUAGUAUUU
This 947-nucleotide ribosomal RNA is filed under the name uncultured bacterium. RNAcentral's name for it is "bacterial SSU rRNA". It matches the Rfam family "Bacterial small subunit ribosomal RNA", at positions 54 to 1014 of the family's 1533-position model. The record is from RNAcentral.